RNAcentral lists this transfer RNA (72 nucleotides) under Ictidomys tridecemlineatus (thirteen-lined ground squirrel). RNAcentral describes it as "Spermophilus tridecemlineatus (thirteen-lined ground squirrel) tRNA". It matches the Rfam family "tRNA". Rfam says of the family: Transfer RNA (tRNA) molecules are approximately 80 nucleotides in length. The record is from Rfam by way of RNAcentral. Lineage: Eukaryota; Metazoa; Chordata; Mammalia; Rodentia; Sciuridae.
GGAGGUGUAGCUCAGUGGUAGAGUGUUUGCCUAGCAUUCGUGAUGCCCUGGGUUAAUCCCUCAGCACUGCCA